UAGGGAAUCUUCCGCAAUGGACGCAAGUCUGACGGAGCAACGCCGCGUGAGUGAAGAAGGAUUUCGGUUCGUAAAACUCUGUUGUUAGAGAAGAACAGCGCAUAGAGUAACUGUUAUGCGUGUGACGGUAUCUAACCAGAAAGGGACGGCUAACUACGUGCCAGCAGCCGCGGUAAUACGUAGGUCCCGAGCGUUGUCCGGAUUUAUUGGGCGUAAAGCGAGCGCAGGCGGUCAAUUAAGUCUGAUGUGAAAGCCCCCGGCUCAACCGGGGAGGGUCAUUGGAAACUGGUUGACUUGAGUGCAGAAGAGGAGAGUGGAAUUCCAUGUGUAGCGGUGAAAUGCGUAGAUAUAUGGAGGAACACCAGUGGCGAAGGCGACUCUCUGGUCUGUAACUGACGCUGAGGUUCGAAAGCGUGGGUAGCAAACAGG
This 429-nucleotide ribosomal RNA is filed under the name Bacteroidota bacterium. RNAcentral describes it as "Bacteroidetes bacterium partial 16S ribosomal RNA". It matches the Rfam family "Bacterial small subunit ribosomal RNA", at positions 355 to 776 of the family's 1533-position model. The record is from RNAcentral. Lineage: Bacteria; Pseudomonadati; Bacteroidota.